CUGGGCUCUGUAAUCUAACAUCACCAUAGACACACACAGCCUUUGAACCUAAAUUGAGUGUUGUAAACCAUAAUAAGCUGAGUCUACUCCAAUCAUUGGAGGACAGUAGGCUAAUUUUACCAAUUGGCUAAUUUUACCAAAGUAAUGGUACAGUGUGAGAAUUGUGCAAGGUGGUUCCACAACUUAUGUCUGCAGUUUCAGACUGCUUUCCCGUCUGACAAGGAAUUGCCAUGGUUCUGUCAGUUGUGCAGUACAGAAGUAAAAGGGUAAAGAAGAAAUUAACAGAUGUCAAAGCCAUGAACCAUGAGAACUCCACCAUGGAUGACUACAUUUUUUUCUUUAUUUCCAUUUAUUAAUUAAUUUUGCUUUGAAUAAAC
Molecule: long non-coding RNA, 377 nt
Organism: Sinocyclocheilus anshuiensis
Lineage: Eukaryota; Metazoa; Chordata; Actinopteri; Cypriniformes; Cyprinidae
Source: Ensembl